This 351-nucleotide ribosomal RNA is filed under the name uncultured bacterium. RNAcentral's name for it is "bacterial SSU rRNA". It matches the Rfam family "Bacterial small subunit ribosomal RNA", at positions 8 to 353 of the family's 1533-position model. The record is from RNAcentral.
AGAGUUUGAUCCUGGCUCAGGAUGAACGCUAGCGGCAGGCUUAACACAUGCAAGUCGAGGGGCAGCAUAAUGGAUAGCAAUAUCUAUGGUGGCGACCGGCGCACGGGUGCGUAACGCGUAUGCAACCUACCUUUAACAGGGGGAUAACACUGAGAAAUUGGUACUAAUACCCCAUAAUAUCAUAGAAGGCAUCUUUUAUGGUUGAAAAUUCCGAUGGUUAGAGAUGGGCAUGCGUUGUAUUAGCUAGUUGGUGGGGUAACGGCUCACCAAGGCGACGAUACAUAGGGGGACUGAGAGGUUAACCCCCCACACUGGUACUGAGACACGGACCAGACUCCUACGGGAGCUGCA